CACACACACACGCACACACACACACAUUUUUAGGGACCCCGAACCUUUCAGUGCUUCAUCAGGGGUCCAGAUCCAACAAGCUCCAAUCAAAGCUCGGUCCAGAACCCGCUAAGGAGCCGAAGCGGGACCUUGUGAAGCUGUUAACCGUAUAAUUUAAACGUCUUAUGUUACUUCAGUAAGAAAGGAGAGCUUCAUGUAUCACAAAAAUUAAGCAGCAUAUUUUUUCCACCCCUGACAUUCAUGAAUGAUGUCUAAAAUCAGAGAGGAGGAUAAAUUGAUGUCUCUAGUUUGCGUGAUAUAAAAAAAAAGUGAGCUUAAAAGCCUGCGAUGAAUGAGAAAUUACAGCUCUCACGAGAACAGCAACGUUUUCUCAGCACUAAAAACCGUAGUAACCCCUCAAGUUUUCUUCUGUAAUUGGUUUUCACAUCCUGAUCGCUAACUAGCUGAAGCUUUCUGCCCAUUAUAAGGUUUCCCUUUCUGCUCUCGCUGGUCUCCAUUCAUACUAUUCUCCAGAAAAAAGACAGCCAGUGUGUCGCGCAUGUGAACCUUGGGUGUCAUCAAGCUGCAGCGUUGAAACUGUCAUAAUCACUGGAAUUGAAAUCUGUUUUGGUGACGUUCGUUAAAGCGACAGCUGGAAACCAUCCCAAACAAGACGAUCUGGGCUCCAGUUUGCAUGUUUGUUUAAACAUUAGUCUGCCCCUUUAUCCCUUUUAAAGGCUGGUGUUCUCCCCAUUAAUUCAUACAAGGAUUAAAAACAGCUGACCAGAGUAAUUUUCCAAAACGGUUUUCCUCAGUUUCUCACUCAUUGUGUGCUCAGAGACUUUGGUAGCUGUUAGCAGGAUUUUGAAACUGUUGGUAAAAAAAAACGGCAAGGCACUGGUGUCUAAAUGUGGCUGAAAAAUAUUUAUAUUUGAUUAAAUUUGCUAAUUUUUAACACCUUUGUUUCAGCUGAGUUUGGAGAUGACUCAUGGGGUAAAUAUGGAGAAUAUUCCUCGCCUUUUCAAUAUAUUAUAUGAAAUAAAGUCAAGGAUUGGUCAAUCGUAGCCAGGGAUGUCCAUUGUUUGGAUGGUUCUGUCUGCUGUGUUUAACAUAAAAUAAUUGAUGCUGCUCCUACAUUCCAACCUGUUACGGUCAGUGUCGAUGUUUAGUAUUUCUUUUUUCUUUUUGCAUGGAGUUUGCAAGCAUGGGUUCUCUCUGGGUACUUUGGCUUCCUCCCAGGCGUAGGUUAAUUGGCUAAUUGACUUGCCUUUAGGUGUGAGCGUCCUGUGAUGGACACCUCCUCUCACCCAAAGACCACUUGAGAUAGGCUCCAGCUUCCCCUGGACCCUGCACAGAUAAGCGGCUGUAGACAAUGGAUGGCCAAACAUGGUCCAACCAACCAUGUGGAAAACGGAGAGACAUUUGAAAGUAGCAGAGAGGCAGCCGGUUUUGAAACAACACUGUUCUGGACGUCGUUGCUACAGCUAAUGCCGCCGUAGAGGUGGCGCCGUGCGGUUCCCGUCUACUUAACCCUCGUAUAUCGGUAUUGUGGUCAUUUCUGGAGACUUAUGAUCAAAACAUUUGGUAAGUCUAAGAUAUGCAUCAGUUUUACUACUGAGUCUUUUUAAAUGAAGAAAUUACUGCAAUAACAUUUUUGUAUUAUCGUUUGAUGAAUUUAUGUUACUCCUAAUUUAGAUCAACGUUUCAUCCAGUCCCCAAUUCAGCAAGUAAGGUUUACAGAUUAAGCACAGCAGCCCCAGAUACCAGGGGAGUAAUUGAACCAUUUUAUUGUAGGUACAUUACUCUAAGUUCUCUAGUUAAACAUAGACACAUUUGGUAUCCACAGAAACACCAGAAUGUUGGUUAAAUACUGAUAGAAAUCCUUUUAAUAAUCCUAAAACACAGUUAAACUACCACAAACAAGCUAAUCAAAAAGUUUAAAUUUUUUCACUUUGGAAACAAGCCAUUUAAGACAUGUUAAACAAGUUUAAGUUUUGCAAGUAAAAAAACACAAUAAAUCUCCAGAUUUUUUAGAUGGUGCCAAAAUGUGCCAAA
Long non-coding RNA from Fundulus heteroclitus (mummichog), 2034 nucleotides. RefSeq lists it as uncharacterized. The record is from RefSeq and is a predicted model, not a curated record. Lineage: Eukaryota; Metazoa; Chordata; Actinopteri; Cyprinodontiformes; Fundulidae. The transcript is spliced from 2 exons.